AGGUCAAGCUACGAAGAGCACACGGUGGAUGCCUUGGCACCAAGGGCCGAAGAAGGACGUGGCGUUGCUGCGAUAAGCCUCGGGGAGCUGCUAGCGAGCGUUGAUCCGGGGAUCUCCGAAUGGGGCAACCCACCUGGAGCAAUGUCCAGGUACUCCCGGUUGAACACAUAGGCCGGGUAGAGGGCACGCGGGGAACUGAAACAUCUUAGUACCCGCAGGAAGAGACAUUAUCCCCUGAGUAGUGGCGAGCGAAACGGGGACAGCCUAAACCGCGGCGGCGUGAAAGCCGGCAGGCGUUUCCGUCGCGGGGUCGUGGGACCCCUUGGUCCCCUCUGCCGGGGGGACAUGGAGUUACCAAGUCGCCAUCUAGUCGAACGGUUCUGGAAAGACCGGCCACAGCAGGUGACAGCCCUGUAGGCGAAAGAUGAGCGACCUCCAUAGGGUGUUCCCAAGUACCACGGAACACGUGGAAUUCUGUGGGAAUCUGGGCGGACCAUCGUCCAAGGCUAAAUACCCUUGGUGACCGAUAGUGAACUAGUACCGUGAGGGAAAGGUGAAAAGCACCCCGGAAGGGGAGUUAAAAGUACCUGAAACCGUGUGCUUACAAACCGUGAGAGGGCUAUGUCCUUCGGGAAAUGCCUGAUUGCGUGCCUUUUGUAGAAUGAGCCGGCGAGUUACUUCAGUGUGGCGAGGUUAAGGGGGACACACCCGGAGCCGAAGCGAAAGCGAGUCCGAACAGGGCGUGGCCGCCGCAAGGCGGUGGUAGUCGCACUGAGUAGACCCGNNNNNNNNNNNNNNNNNNNNNNNNNNNNNNNNNNNNNNNCGUGGAAGCCCGAACCGACCCCGGUUGAAAACGCGGCGGAUGAACUGUGGAUAGCGGUGAAAUGCCAAUCGAACUCGGAUAUAGCUGGUUCUCCUCGAAAUGCAUUUAGGUGCAGCGUCGUCGAUGGGUCUGUUGUUGGUAGAGCACUGAAUGGGCUAGGGGCGAUCACCUCGUUACCAAACCCAACCAAACUCCGAAUGACAGCAGAUUUUCCGGCGGCAGUGAGACUGUGGGGGCUAAGCUUCAUAGUCGAAAGGGAAACAGCCCAGACCACCGGCUAAGGUCCCUAAUCGCAAGCUAAGUGGGAAAGGAUGUCACGGUGCCCAGACAACCAGGAUGUUGGCUUAGAAGCAGCCACCAUUCAAAGAGUGCGUAAUAGCUCACUGGUCGAGUGUCGUGGCGCCGACAAUGAUCGGGGCUCAAGCUUGCAACCGACGCCGUGGAUGGCCCGCGUGAGCGGGUCGUGGUAGAGGAGCGUUCUGCCUGCAGCGAAGCCGGACCGUGAGGACCGGUGGAGCGGACAGAAGUGCGAAUGCCGGCACAAGUAGCGAGAAACGCGUGAGAAACGUGUUCGCCGUAAGCCUAAGGUUUCCUGGGCAACGUUACUCGUCCCAGGGUCAGUCGGGCCUAAGCCGAGGCCGAAAGGCGUAGGCGAUGGACAGUUGGUCAACAUUCCAACACCACCGACCGUUCGCUUGAGCAAUGGGGUGACGGGGAAGGGUAGGCCUAACGGGGCGCCGGUUGUCCCCGACGCAAACAGGUAGGGGGUCAGGUAGGCAAAUCCGCCUGGCAUAACCCCGAGAGGAUGCCAAAGCACAUUGUGCUGAUGGGGCCGAUCCCAUGCCUCCAAGAAAAACCUCUAGCGAGAACGGCGGUGCCCGUACCGCAAACCGACACAGGUAGGUGGGAAGAGGAUUCCAAGGCGAUCGAGAGAAGCGUGGCUAAGGAACUCGGCAAAAUGUCCCCGUAACUUCGGGAGAAGGGGAGCCCUUGGUGGUGAUCGGCCUCGCGCCGUGAGCUGCCGGGGGCCGCAGAGAAAAGGCCCAACCGACUGUUUACUAAAAACACAGGUCUCUGCUAAAGCGCAAGCUGACGUAUAGGGGCUGACGCCUGCCCGGUGCCGGAAGGUUAAGAGGAGGUGUGCAAGCGCUGAAUUGAAGCCCCGGUAAACGGCGGCCGUAACUAUAACGGUCCUAAGGUAGCGAAAUUCCUUGUCGGGUAAGUUCCGACCCGCACGAAUGGCGUAACGAGUUGGGCGCUGUCUCGGCCACGCACUCGGCGAAACUGAAGUACCUGUGAAGAUGCAGGUUACCCGCGGCAGGACGGAAAGACCCCGUGGAGCUUUACUACAACUUGCCACUGGAAUGGGGUCUAGCAUGUAGAGGAUAGCUGGGAGACUGCGAAGCGUGGCCGCCAGGUUGCGUGGAGUCGACGGUGGAAUACCAGCCUUGCUAGAUUUUAUUUCUAACCGGCACCGUCAUCCGGUGUCGGGACCGUGGCAGGCGGGUAGUUUGACUGGGGCGGUCGCCUCCCAAAAGGUAACGGAGGCGCCCAAAGGUUCCCUCAGCCUGGAUGGAAAUCAGGCCUAGAGAGUGCAAUGGCAUAAGGGAGCUUGACUGUGAGGCUGACAGGCCGAGCAGGGACGAAAGUCGGGCAUAGUGAUCCGACGGCUCUGAAUGGAAAGGCCGUCGCUCAACGGAUAAAAGCUACCCCGGGGAUAACAGGCUUAUCUUGCCCAAGAGUUCACAUCGACGGCAAGGUUUGGCACCUCGAUGUCGGCUCGUCGCAUCCUGGGGCUGGAGUAGGUCCCAAGGGUUGGGCUGUUCGCCCAUUAAAGCGGUACGCGAGCUGGGUUUAGAACGUCGUGAGACAGUUCGGUCCCUAUCCGCCGUGGGCGCAGGAGAUUUGAGGGGAGCUGACCUCAGUACGAGAGGACCGGGUUGGACGGACCGCUAGUGCACCGGUUGUUCCGCCAGGAGCACCGCCGGGUAGCCAUGUCCGGAUGGGAUAAGCGCUGAAAGCAUCUAAGUGCGAAGCCCACCCCAAGAUGAGAUCUCCCACCGGGUCAACCGGGUAAGACCCCAGCUAGACCAGCUGGUUGAUAGGCCGCAGGUGUAAGAGUGGCAACACUUUGAGCUGAGCGGUACUAAUCGGUCGAGGGCUUGACCUCC
RNAcentral lists this ribosomal RNA (2994 nucleotides) under Chloroflexota bacterium. RNAcentral's name for it is "Chloroflexi bacterium 23S ribosomal RNA". It matches the Rfam family "Bacterial large subunit ribosomal RNA". Lineage: Bacteria; Bacillati; Chloroflexota. The record is from RNAcentral.